CUCGGAGUUUGGAUCCUGGCUCAGAUUGAACGCUGGCGGAAUGCUUUACACAUGCAAGUCGAACGGUAGAGGGGGCAACCCCUUGAGAGUGGCGAACGGGUGAGUAAUAUAUCGGAACGUGCCCAGUCGUGGGGGAUAACGUAGCGAAAGUUACGCGUAAUACCGCAUACGAUCUAAGGAUGAAAGCGGGGUACUCGCAAGAGCCUCGCGCGAUUGGAGCGGCCGAUAUCGAGA
RNAcentral lists this ribosomal RNA (234 nucleotides) under uncultured Limnohabitans sp. RNAcentral describes it as "partial 16S ribosomal RNA". It matches the Rfam family "Bacterial small subunit ribosomal RNA", at positions 1 to 241 of the family's 1533-position model. Lineage: Bacteria; Pseudomonadati; Pseudomonadota; Betaproteobacteria; Burkholderiales; Comamonadaceae. The record is from RNAcentral.